AAUUAAUCCAAAAAGUGGACCAUCCGUAAUAAUAACAUCUGUAGACCUUGAAUUAUUUCUUGUAGCAGCUGCUGCACUUGACCCAUCAUCCAUGCAUUUAGAAGCUAAGGUUCUGCACCAGAGUGGAUCGAUGUUGGUGUGAUCACCAUAUCAACACGACCUCACAUCACUGCAGGCGGCCUGGCGUUGUUUGCGACCACAUUGGCAGUGCCGUCAAGAUAUCGCCACCUCUCUACUGCACUAACGGAUCAAAUAUUCGAAAACUCAAAUUUUCAAAUCUUAUCCGGCUUAAUCUUGGUAGAAUUCGAGUCAUUGGGAGUACUUCUUUGAAUUUGUAAGUGGAAAUGGGCCACCGUGGAUGCAAGAGAGAUCAACGUGUGUGAUCGAUGAUAAUUAAGGCAGAAUUGAUGUGGUGUCUUCUGUUCAAGUAUGUCUACUGCACACGAGUCUUGGACUUUGGUUACUGCAAUACAAGGCUUAUUUUGUUUUCCACCAUAUGUAUUUCCCAGUCUAUUAAUUAGGCCUGCAUCUUUGAUCCAUUCAAGGACUUUCCUUUCCUUCCUAUAUAGAUAACAAAUAGACAAGCUACUGGAUCAAUG
This 599-nucleotide unclassified non-coding RNA is filed under the name Hevea brasiliensis (rubber tree). The record is from RNAcentral. Lineage: Eukaryota; Viridiplantae; Streptophyta; Magnoliopsida; Malpighiales; Euphorbiaceae.